UACGUAGGGGGCAAGCGUUGUCCGGAAUCAUUGGGCGUAAAGAGCGUGUAGGCGGCCCGGUAAGUCCGCUGUGAAAGUCGGGGGCUCAACCCUCGAAUGCCGGUGGAUACUGUCGGGCUAGAGUGCGGAAGAGGCGAGUGGAAUUCCUGGUAUAGCGGUGAAAUGCGCAGAUAUCAGGAGGAACACCGAUUGCGAAGGCAGCUCGCUGGGACGUAACUGACGCUGAGACGCGAAAGCGUGGGGAGCAAACAGG
RNAcentral lists this ribosomal RNA (253 nucleotides) under uncultured bacterium. Its description in RNAcentral is "partial 16S ribosomal RNA". It matches the Rfam family "Bacterial small subunit ribosomal RNA", at positions 524 to 776 of the family's 1533-position model. The record is from RNAcentral.